RNAcentral lists this ribosomal RNA (120 nucleotides) under Pantoea vagans. The record is from RNAcentral. RNAcentral also lists the same sequence under 1 other name. Lineage: Bacteria; Pseudomonadati; Pseudomonadota; Gammaproteobacteria; Enterobacterales; Erwiniaceae.
UGCCUGGCGGCUUUAGCGCGGUGGUCCCACCUGACCCCAUGCCGAACUCAGAAGUGAAACGCCGUAGCGCCGAUGGUAGUGUGGGGCCUCCCCAUGCGAGAGUAGGGAACUGCCAGGCAU